This 694-nucleotide long non-coding RNA is filed under the name Physcomitrium patens. RNAcentral's name for it is "long non-coding RNA (PPAT_LNC006118)". Lineage: Eukaryota; Viridiplantae; Streptophyta; Bryopsida; Funariales; Funariaceae. The record is from RNAcentral.
UUCGUCGAUGGCUCUGUUGGCGUCUUCGAUGCUGAAAGCUUACGACCACGAUGCAGGCUUGCCCCAUCUGUGCACAUACCUCCGGGAGUGAGUGGGUAUGUAAUCUGCACUGAUUUGAAGUAUUGUAUUUCAUCCGAUUCAGAUGCACCUGUAUACCAAAUUACUUAGGUGGAUUCAUGCAUCAUCUUGGAACACAGUAUGUUUUUGUUUCGUUUCUUUUUUGUAACGUCUGACUUGAAACUAAUGAUUUUUGUUGGUGUUGCAGAUCGACAGUUUACCCCUUAGUGAUUGCUGCGCAUCCCGCAGAGCCAAACCAAUUUGCAUUGGGCUUGAGUGAUGGAGGUGUACAAGUAAUAGAGCCACUAGAAUCUGAGGGGAAAUGGGGGACGGGGCCCCCUGCAGACAAUGGAACAGCUAGUGGUGUACCAUCUGGUCCUGCUUCUGGCAACCAAGGAUCAGACCAAACCCCAAGAUGAUGUACAGUUGUGACUACAAAGAGCUUUUGUAGCAGUUGUAGCUGCGCAGCUUACAAUUGGGGGACUGUACCUCUUUCUCAACAUAUGCAUGCAAGGCCCAUGAUUUCUUCUGUUUGCAAGAUAGUGAAGAUGGGUCUAUUCUUGAGUUCCAGAGACUGAUUCAUGGCCUGUGGCCUGCGACCCGGGGUUUGGAUUCAUUUUUGUGAGCUCGUUGUAGA